UCGAUAUUUUUGGUGCAAUGAAGGACUCACAACAUUGUGCCACGUGCACUGUGGUCCUAGUGUGAGAGGCUAAUGACAGAAAUGCAAUUAUUUGGCAGCUUAUAUCAGCAAUGUAUAUUGACCCUUUAAAGCUACAUAAAAAGGUGUUUAGCUAUGUAAAGUUAGGGCUGUACAAGGGGCAUAUUGGUCCAUUCGUGAUAUUUAAUGUCAGCAUAUUUCCCUAUCUAUGGUUGGCUAAUGAGGGAAUAUACUUAUCCAUACUAGGGCAGCAAAAUGAGAGUAUAAAAGUGUUGUUAUAGCAGUAGCAGCAGUUGUGUGCACCUAAGAUAGCCUAUAAUGAACUUUUGAGCUGAAAUUGAAAAUGGUCUCGAAAGCUUAAAGUUUUAGUAAUUUCAGAGAGAUUCAUUGCUGAUUUAAGCAGCAUUUAAUCUCUGAUAUCAUCAUGAAGAAGGUGCAGAUUUAGUAAAGGUUACAUGUUGCAGAUUUCUAGUGCAAAAAGGAGGCUUGGAGGUUAAAAAAUAGUUGUGGCUGCUUCUGGGGUCUAAGCAUGGUUUAAGCAAGUUUGUUUGGGGUUUUCACACCUGCAGUAGGCAUCUACACAACCAAAAUCAAGCUGGGCAAUAAAGUAAAAAUGAGCCAACAACGGUCCAUUAAGGCCUUUUGAAGUCAAGCCAGAGCAUAGGGGACAACAUUCAGAAGGAAGCAAGGAUGCAGCAGUGCAUCACAUCCAGACGCCAUUCCUCGCGUCUGAACACAAGUCUUUUAUACACUGCGUUCGGACGACAAAAUCUGCGUCCGGAUGCUAAAAGCUGCGUCCGAAUGCCAUGUUGCAAUUUAAGUUACGGGUUUGACCUAUUUUGAUGGCUAUGGGAUUUUAUCUUUUGGGCUUGUUUUUGUAACCGAUGGGCUUUAUUAGGUUUUGUAUUAAAGGGAAAAUAGGACCUUUAUUUAGUGGUUAGUUUUUGUUUUUUAUAAUUAAGUUUAAUUUUUCUGUAUCAAUAUUACGUUCUCUCUGAAAAAACACGCAAAAGCAGAGAAACAGAAGAAUAGGCUAGGGUUUGGAAGAAAAAGCUCAGAGAUAAUGAAUCAAAGGAUGGAGAUUGUUCUAUCUUCGAAUCUGUUAAUCAUGAGUAGCAAAUUCUUCUACUUAGGGUUGGAUACACCCUAAACAUGUAACCUAUUCUCUCUUUCUUUCUUACUUUUUAGGGAGUAAUUUAUGUAAUUGAUGUAUAGGCUUGAAUAACAUGAUUAAAUUCUUCCAAUUUUUUAUUUGUAUU
Long non-coding RNA from Cornus florida, 1277 nucleotides. RefSeq lists it as uncharacterized. The transcript is spliced from 2 exons. Lineage: Eukaryota; Viridiplantae; Streptophyta; Magnoliopsida; Cornales; Cornaceae. The record is from RefSeq and is a predicted model, not a curated record.